AGCUCCAAAAGCGUAUAUUAAAGUUGUUGCAGUUAAAAAGCUCGUAGUUGAACCUUGGGCUUGGUUAGCCGGUCCGCCUUUUGGUGAGUACUGGAUCUAACCGAGCCUUUCCUUCUGGGUAACCUUUCUUUCGGGGAAGGCGAACCAGGACUUUUACUUUGAAAAAAUUAGAGUGUUCAAAACAGGCCUUUGCUCGAAUAUAUUAGCAUGGAAUAAUAGAAUAGGACGUUAUGGUUCUAUUUUGUUGGUUUCUAGGACCAUCGUAAUGAUUAAUAGGGACGGACGGGGGUAUCAGUAUUCAGUUGUCAGAGGUGAAAUUCUUGGAUUUACUGAAGACUAACUACUGCGAAAGCAUUUACCAAGCACGUUUUCA
This 373-nucleotide ribosomal RNA is filed under the name uncultured eukaryote. RNAcentral's name for it is "SSU rRNA". It matches the Rfam family "Eukaryotic small subunit ribosomal RNA", at positions 587 to 972 of the family's 1831-position model. The record is from RNAcentral.